This 415-nucleotide long non-coding RNA is filed under the name Bos taurus (domestic cattle). Its description in RNAcentral is "long non-coding RNA NONBTAT014327". The record is from RNAcentral. Lineage: Eukaryota; Metazoa; Chordata; Mammalia; Artiodactyla; Bovidae.
AUCUUUUUACUAAUGCAGUUAGGUAUGUUAACAUGUGGUGGAUUCCCGAUCGAUUUCUGCCUGUGCCUAGUUAAGGGUCACCACAUAUUCAGAGGAAACAUUUCAGAAAACCCGAAGUGAGAAUUGAAUUGAGUACACUGUGGAAUACAUGAAGGGACAACGGCCAAAAUGUUUUAUUAUUGCCCCUGAGUAUGAAUGGUACAAACCUUCCCUGAAAUUCAUAUUUCAGAAGGGAGCCUGUUGGGCACUGAACAUAAUUAUUUAGACUCUCCGCAGUAUUUAGCAUCUUACAUGAUGCAAGAGUCCUUUGAAGCCUGUCUCACCCCACUCUUGUCUUGGUGUUAUGACACCUGGACCCACAUAAGAUGGAUUUUCCUAUUAUUACUGGAAUAGUUUUUAAGGCCAUGAAGGGGCU